UACGGAGGGGGCUAGCGUUGUUCGGAAUUACUGGGCGUAAAGCGCACGUAGGCGGCUUUGUAAGUUAGAGGUGAAAGCCCAGGGCUUAACCCUGGAAUUGCCUUUAAGACUGCAUCGCUAGAAUUGUGGAGAGGUGAGUGGAAUUCCGAGUGUAGAGGUGAAAUUCGUAGAUAUUCGGAAGAACACCAGUGGCGAAGGCGGCUCACUGGACUGGUAUUGACGCUGAGGUGCGAAAGCGUGGGGAGCGAACAGG
RNAcentral lists this ribosomal RNA (253 nucleotides) under uncultured bacterium. RNAcentral's name for it is "partial 16S ribosomal RNA". It matches the Rfam family "Bacterial small subunit ribosomal RNA", at positions 524 to 776 of the family's 1533-position model. The record is from RNAcentral.